Molecule: long non-coding RNA, 182 nt
Organism: Bufo bufo (common toad)
Lineage: Eukaryota; Metazoa; Chordata; Amphibia; Anura; Bufonidae
Exons: 3
Source: RefSeq, a predicted model, not a curated record
UACAUAACACCUACCCCAAACCAGAACUUAUGUGAAGAAGUCCGGGUUCGGGUCUGGGUACCAAACAUGCCGAUUUUUCUCACGCGCGUGCAAAACACAUUAAAACGUUUUGUACUCGCGGGGAAAAAACGUGCAUCUGUUCCCGCAUGUCACCCGCAGUGCCCCUUCCAAGAGGCCUUAUG